UACGAACUGUGCAAACGUUAUUCGGAUUCACUGGGCUUACAGGGUGCGUAGGCGGCUUGCUAAGUAGGGUGUGAAAGCCCCCGGCUUAACCGGGGAAUGGCGCCCUAAACUGGCGAGCUGGAGUGAGAUAGGGGUGUGCGGAACUUCCGGUGGAGCGGUGAAAUGUGUUGAUAUCGGAAGGAACGCCGGUGGCGAAAGCGGCACACUGGAUCUCAACUGACGCUGAGGCACGAAAGCCAGGGGAGCGAACGGG
RNAcentral lists this ribosomal RNA (253 nucleotides) under uncultured Planctomyces sp. RNAcentral describes it as "partial 16S ribosomal RNA". It matches the Rfam family "Bacterial small subunit ribosomal RNA", at positions 524 to 776 of the family's 1533-position model. Lineage: Bacteria; Pseudomonadati; Planctomycetota; Planctomycetia; Planctomycetales; Planctomycetaceae. The record is from RNAcentral.